CGCCCCGUCUCCAUCCACUUCAUUUUCUUGUCUCGACGGUUGGAGUGCUGCGUGGACACGGUGCUGGUUCUGGAUAGAUGAGCCGCCAGGUUGUUGAAGGUGACAUUCUCUGGAGCAGAGUUGCUGGAGCUCUUGGGCAAACUCUUCGAUAAAGCUGACUAAUCAAAUUAUGUGCGUUAUGACUCCAGCGGGUUGCUCGCAGGUUGGAGGAGGACUCGUAAUGAAGCAUUAGAUCGAUCGCAACAGGUCGGGGAGCCGGGCUGGCGAGUGUCAACUCUGCUGUGCGCAUCGGCCUUGCUCACUUACUCAGGGUCAUGAGGUCUUUCCCAUCUCUGCCUGGCAGGGGUCAGGGUAGGCGUUAAUACCCCCUAGAGACCUGGCAGAGUUUGCCUGCGGAGGCUGCUGGAGAGACCGCCUAAUCAAUUUUCUGCGAACUCUGGGAGCUCACAUACGGGUGGAAUUGAACUUGAGUAUCUGCUAAUAACUGAGUGUGAUAAAACACUAACCACACACUGCUCCUUUCCUUCCAUUCUGCUCUCAUACUCCUCACUUUCUGCCUGUUCCUCACAGUAACAAACUUGUUCAGUGAUAACACUUUUUAAGAAAAACAUUAACAAUGCUGUCUUGCUGAACUCCCAGCUAGAAGAAGCCUGUCCCUCUCGGACUGGUGCUUUUCAGAGAAGCGCACUAAGAAUUAAUUUUUCAAGAUAGCUUAAAUCUUCGCUGUCCUCAUAUGACAAAUGCUGCAACACUCCACUGCUAAAAGGCCUUUUUUUACUUUCUUGGCUACUGCAUCCAUCAUUUCCAAUAAAAAUAAAGCUAGCAGUUUUCUUUGGUAAGAGCAUGUUGUGACACCAGUCGUGCUGAGAAAAGGAAGCGGUGUCUGUUCAGGUCAGUCAAGAGGAAUGGCUUGUUGCAGAGUAGAAGAACUUAAAUCUUCAGGAACCUGCUUGAGAAACUAAGACUCAUCAGUUUUAAGAAAGCUCAUCCUUUAUUGUGAGUAAGAGUCCUGUAUUUUGGGGGAAUUUGGGGAUGUGCGUGUAUUUGAAUCUCUUGUACAAAGUCAGAUUCAUCUCCUGUCUUACAAAUUGGUGCUGCUGUAUGCUGCAGACUUCUGAGGAUGAUUGCUGACACCUAGACACAUUACUAAAAUGGCUCCAGACACAAAUCAAAGCUGGAUAUCUGAAAUCCCAGCAGGAAAAGGUCUUCUGCCACCGUUACUCAAGGGUAAGGUGCUGCUUCUGUAACUGCAUCAGUUUCUUGUGACUGGUAGAAGGAGACUGAGAGCAGCUUAUGCUAUCCAGCAGUGCGCUGGAGGAAAAUACAGACCUGCUGCUGGUAUGGGCAUCAUAAUUGAACUAAAAUGUGUGAUUGCUACAGAGCUGCCUAACUCUCUCAAUGGAAAUCUGAGACCUGCCUACCAAGUGAGAUCCUUGUCAGAAGGAUGGAAGUCACUAUUUGUUUUCCUUGUAGUGAAGCUAAGGAGUUCCCCCCACAUGAGCUCAUUUGAGUAUCAACUGUGAUGGCAGAACUUGCCACCUGAGUGCCUGGAGCAUCCCUGUGUUCCUUCAGUGUGCCGCAUGUGUUUCUCCUGCUUUCCUUGUAUCCUUUUCCACACAUAACACUUGUCUCUGUAGGGAACCACAGCCCUACCCACAGGGAAAGGCAGCCAAAAGGCAGGUGAUCAGCCUUUACCAACUCCAUCGCAAGGCCUGACAACCCUGCAGAGUGCCCAUCGGUCUCACUGGUCUUAUUUUCUCUUCAUCAGCUUGGAGAGAGAAGCAUCAAUUACAGAGGUGGUGGACCUAGGAGUGGGGCAGGGUCCUCUUCUGCUCCAGGAUCCAUCCUGUGUAAAGAGACACUAAAAGCUGGCCCAGGAAUUCUCGGAUCCCCUCCUGCCAUCUCUUGGCACGUACAGUCCCCUUUGCUCACUCACUGAAUGUGCAAGUGGCUUUUCCUAUCUGCAGCAUCUGAUGCUCUUGAGCUGAUAGGGAAGGUGGCUGGUUGCUGGGGAAGUCAUCAUGGGAAAGGUGUGUUUUAAUAUGACAUCCUGACAUUUUUAGUCCUCCUUUGAACAUUGGCUGGAGGUCUGCACCUAUCUAGAAGAGAGACCUUCCCAAGCCCUUGCAAAAAGGUUUCUGUGCCUGUCCAAUCCAUGUAAUUAAGCAGAACUGGGAACCACCAUGUCGGCAUGGGACUUCAUAUUGCUCAAAAAGGCUUUGGAGUAAGAGGCUCUGGGUCCAGAGAGGAAGCCAAAAGCAAAGAGAAACUGUGUCACUCUUUUCCAGUCAGGGGAGAAAGAAAAGACAA
This is a long non-coding RNA of Egretta garzetta (little egret), 2310 nucleotides long. RefSeq lists it as uncharacterized. The record is from RefSeq and is a predicted model, not a curated record. Lineage: Eukaryota; Metazoa; Chordata; Aves; Pelecaniformes; Ardeidae. The transcript has 2 exons.